UGCUUGUUGUCGGCUGCUUUUGUGACCAACAUACUUGAGUGCUGAGUGUUUUCACUAAGGAAAAAGAAGAUCCUUUCUAAUGGAUGCAGACUGACCGUUGUAAAAUGUCAUUGGACUCCACUAGAAAGUUGUAAAAGAGCAUUUAGAAACCAUUAACUUUGAGGUUCUGGUCAACUGAUUGCCUGGCAAUUGCACUCAGCCUGAUCUAUAAAAGAAAGGGUCUUUGAGCUGUUCUUGUCUCUCCUGCACAGGUAUGAAAUUACUUGUUCUGAGAUGUUUUUUGGCCCUUAUGCACU
Molecule: long non-coding RNA, 296 nt
Filed under: Phasianus colchicus (ring-necked pheasant)
Lineage: Eukaryota; Metazoa; Chordata; Aves; Galliformes; Phasianidae
Description: lncRNA (ENSPCLG00000010837.1)
Source: RNAcentral